GCCCCUGUAGCUCAGAGGACAGAGCAGUGGUUUCCUAAACCAUGUGUCGGGGGUUCGACUCCCUCCAGGGGCGCCU
Molecule: transfer RNA, 76 nt
Filed under: Chloroflexota bacterium
Lineage: Bacteria; Bacillati; Chloroflexota
Also listed under: 1 other name
Description: Chloroflexi bacterium tRNA-Arg
Rfam family: tRNA
About the family: Transfer RNA (tRNA) molecules are approximately 80 nucleotides in length. Their secondary structure includes four short double-helical elements and three loops (D, anti-codon, and T loops).
Source: RNAcentral